CCCCGUCCCGCCCCGUCGCCCGCCAAUCCCCACUCAAGAGGGCACGCCUGCGCAUUAGCUGCCCGGCUCCCCAAUCUUCCUAUCUCAAAGGUCCUGGAUCCACCUUUCUGCCAUAACAAAAGGACAUUGGCGUCCAAUCAGGAUUGAGAUCCUUAUGGGCGGGCCCGGGAAGAGCAACAGCCAAUGACAGCGCGGAAGCUAAUUUAAGCGUGUGAAAGCCAGUCCAAGCCAAGCAGCUCUUCAGUCUCAGCAGGACUCAGAAAAUUGGGGUCAGAAAUUCAGUGCGGAAAAUUCUGACAGCUGUCAGGAAGGAGGUUAUUGCAUUCAUUGGAGAACGAGUGCUGUCUUGAAUUUGAUGGAGAGAGUCACUUGGAAGUUGGAGGAGAUGAGCAUUCCAAGUGGAGUGACCUGGCCUGACACAUCUGGAAUAUGUGCCUGAGACUGCCACCUUCAGCAUUACUUGGUGCUUUGGAAGCCAAGAAAGUUACCAUACCUGCCAGUGUGGGUUUUAGGCUCUGGUUACAGGUGUCUCUGUUUUGAAGUACUUUGGAUCCUAAAGGGUCUUCUUUAACUUCUCAGCUUAACCAAAGGGGUAGAAAAGUUAUGGCUGAAUUGGGGAAAGCUAAGUUAGGCAUUGGUUUCUGAGGACUCAUACUCUAACUUUUCUGCUGCCUGAAUAACUUCUCCUUCCUUUCUGAAGAGCACCCAGCAGCUGGCUCUGCUUGACUGUCCUCUUGGUAGCUGUCUCCAUCAAUCCUGUAAGUGGGGUCGUCCUCCCAUCAUGGUGGCCAUGGAGAUGCGUCACUCAGAUCUCCACUUAAGAGAACCUGCUGUGGGGAGAAUAGCUGAUUGACAGUCUCUAGCUCCUGCACCUUUGGCUCCACUAUCGAUUUCUGAACUGCUCCCAGCCAAUGAGAGAGAAUGGUGGGGUUACUAGACCAGUCCCGUCCUGCAUAACUUGGAAUUCUCUAAUGAGCAACUUUGGCUCAGGGCCUUCCCAUCGACCUGGCCACAACUUACCUAGAACUGCACAGUGGUCCAUAGUUCUUCCUACUCACUCCUUCCUUCCCUCUCUUCUUUCAUAGGUGCCAGACCUGCGUUGCAGUCUCAAGACUCUCCCUGCCUAUUCCUGCUCCUCUUUUAUUCUUUGAGGGGUUUACUCCAAUAAAUAUCUUGCACAUCUAAUCCUGUGCGGGUAUCUGCUGCUCAAAAGACAUGAGAGACACCAAGAGAUGUCUGAGAAAGCUGGCAGUAAGAUGGAAUUUUGAAACUGGGUUACUCAGGACCUA
Long non-coding RNA from Diceros bicornis minor, 1289 nucleotides. RefSeq lists it as uncharacterized. The record is from RefSeq and is a predicted model, not a curated record. NCBI's taxonomy places the organism in Eukaryota, Metazoa, Chordata, Mammalia, Perissodactyla, Rhinocerotidae. The transcript is spliced from 3 exons.